CCUACGGGUGGCAGCAGUGAGGAAUAUUGGUCAAUGGGCGGGAGCCUGAACCAGCCAAGUCGCGUGAGGGAUGACGGCUCUAUGGGGUGUAAACCUCUUUGGCCGGGGAGCAAAGUGCGGCACGUGUGCGGUGUGGAGAGUACCCGGAGAAAAAGCAUCGGCUAACUCCGUGCCAGCAGCCGCGGUAAUACGGAGGAUGCGAGCGUUAUCCGGAUUUAUUGGGUUUAAAGGGGGCGUAGGCGGACGCUUAGGUCAGCGGUAAAAUUGCGGGGCUCAACCUCGUCGAGCCGUUGAAACUGGGUGCCUUGAGUGGCCGAGAGGUAAGCGGGAUGCGUGGUGUAGCGGUGAAAUGCCUAGAUAUCACGCAGAACUCCGGGUGCGAAGGCAGCGUACCGGCGCCCAACUGACGCUGAGGCACGAAAGCGUGGGUAUCGAACAGGAUUAGAUACCCUAGUAGUC
This 459-nucleotide ribosomal RNA is filed under the name uncultured bacterium. RNAcentral describes it as "partial 16S ribosomal RNA". It matches the Rfam family "Bacterial small subunit ribosomal RNA", at positions 338 to 795 of the family's 1533-position model. The record is from RNAcentral.